RNAcentral lists this ribosomal RNA (436 nucleotides) under Bacillus sp. R-23155. RNAcentral's name for it is "bacterial SSU rRNA". It matches the Rfam family "Bacterial small subunit ribosomal RNA", at positions 28 to 452 of the family's 1533-position model. Lineage: Bacteria; Bacillati; Bacillota; Bacilli; Caryophanales; Bacillaceae. The record is from RNAcentral.
GACGAACGCUGGCGGCGUGCCUAAUACAUGCAAGUCGAGCGGACCUUUUAAAAGCUUGCUUUUGAAAGGUCAGCGGCGGACGGGUGAGUAACACGUGGGCAACCUGCCUGUAAGACUGGGAUAACUUCGGGAAACCGGAGCUAAUACCGGAUAAUAUAAGGAACCUCCUGGUUCUUUAUUGAAAGAUGGUUUCGGCUAUCACUUACAGAUGGGCCCGCGGCGCAUUAGCUAGUUGGUGAGGUAAUGGCUCACCAAGGCGACGAUGCGUAGCCGACCUGAGAGGGUGAUCGGCCACACUGGGACUGAGACACGGCCCAGACUCCUACGGGAGGCAGCAGUAGGGAAUCUUCCACAAUGGACGAAAGUCUGAUGGAGCAACGCCGCGUGAGCGAUGAAGGCCUUCGGGUCGUAAAGCUCUGUUGUUAGGGAAGAACAA